UGAUUUGACUUGUGUACUGAUGAUAUUUAUGAAAUGUGAUUGACGUGCAUAUUUGAGAUGUGGUUUGAUUUGCAUGAUCGGUAUAAUGUGAUGAAAUGUGAGGGCUAGUAGUGGACCAUUAACCCAUUGCUAGAGGGUUUGUUACUUCAGAGCUUGUUUCAUAUCUUGUUUCAUUGUUUCAUUUCUCAUUUUGUUUAUCCGUUCUAAAGUUAAUACUUGUGCUUUGUUUCAUUUCAUUGAGCCUUUGUAAAUUGAGCACUUGGUUUAUGUUUUGUUCUUCGAGCCAUUGAUAUGUUUCUUGGUCUUAUGUUCGAUUUCGUUGAGUGAUCCGGAACUGGGUAUUCGCUAGGCUUUCGUUGAGUGGUCCGGUUCCCUGCUCCAUUUGGAUUCCAUUUCGAGGUUUAGAAUCCCUCGUGAUCCGCAAUUCCAUUGAGUGGUCCCGAAUCGUAUCCUACCUUGGAUUUCAUUAAGUGGUCUGAAAUCCAUUGUGCUCCGCAAUUCCGUUAAGUGGUCCGGAAUCAUAUCCACUCGGAUUUGGUUGAAAGGUCCGGAAUCCCUUAUACUCUACAAUUUUGUUAAGUGGUCUGGAAUCGUAUCCUAGUUUGGAUUUCGUUGAGUGGCCCGGAAUCCCACUUAGUGUUUUGGCUCCAUUGAGUGGUCCGAAAUCCCAUUCUUCAGAGAUGUAGGCUUUGGCCAAACAGUGUCACUCUAGCCCUGCAUUUUGAUGCUUGGUAUGUGAUAUAGAUUGAUGCGGUUAUGGAAUGGUGUAGAAAGCAUAUGUGUACAUGAUUGGCAUACCUGUGUGAAUGACAUAAUGACAAUUAUUGUUUGUCUUAUGGUUGAUGUGUGACAGUGGUACAUGGAUGCUCCUGCUUGGUAUAUCCGCGAUGAGGGACCAUAUGCAUUCUAGGAGUGAUCAUGCUUGGUGGGUGAUCACUACCUAGAGUUAGGAUGUGGUCCUGCUUGGAAUAUCCGUGAUGAGGGACCAUACGUAUUCAGGGGUGAUCAUGCUUGGUAUAUCCACGAUGGGUGAUCAUUGCCUGCACGAUGAGAUUAUGCCUAUGGUUUUGCUUGGUAUAUCUAAGAUGGGGGACCAUACGCAUUCUAGGGGUGAUGAGGAUUAGUUGUACUUGGUACAUUUGAAAUAAGUGACCAUAGUUUAGUUGGAUUCCGUUGAGUGGUCUAGAAUCCUUACUUUUGCUCACUUCCAUAAAGUUAGUUUUGUGGAUGCAAAUUUCCGCCUUCUUCUUGGACAAAAUUGCACCUACAAAACAAUUAACACCUUAGGUCAAGGCCAAGAGCCUCACGUGUCCACGAUGAAUGGAGGGGGGCCUUGGCCAAAGAACCUUCGAUGCCUACGUUAGAAUUUAGAGAAAAAAGUAUUUGGAGAGUUUUUGGGAGUUUUGCAAGAGUGUGGAACUCUCUUUUUUAGGAAAAAAAAAUAGGGUCAUAUAUAGGGAAUGGAGGUGGCCGGCCUUUAGAAGUUUUUUUGUGUGAAAAUGGGUGAUUUAAUUGGUGAUUAAUGGAUUAAUUAGGAAUUAAUCUAUUAAUUAGCCAAUUAAUCUCCAUUUAUAUGGAAUAAUUGGUAGGUUAUGAAGUAAUUACCUAAGAUGAGGAUGAGAUAAUUUGGAAUUGGUUACCUUUUAUGGACACUCUUGGCUUGAUUAAAGAAUGAUUGUCCAUUGCUUGCACUUAAGACAACCGGUGUGUCUCAAGGGUAACUUUGUCAUUUUUACAAAAAAUCCACGUGUCGCCUUGUAAUUAUUUUUGGCUCCACAAAUGCCACCACACCUGCUGAGCUGCUCAUAAGAAAGGGCAACAAGUAUAGAGAUCUUCUUACUCUAGGAAACUUAGGAUUGCUUCCUGUUUUGAUGUAGACUCCCUUUUUAAUAUGAAAUUAGAUCCUUCUAGGAAAGGGAAAUAAAUUUAUCUCAAAGCCUAUUUAAGUCCACCUUAAGUGGGUUAUUAAAUCAACUGUGGAGAGUGAUUUAUUCUACCUUACAAGAGAGAGCUUAGAGGAUAUUUGUUCCCCCUCCUUUAGCAAUCUUCUACAUCUUGCCUGUGCAAAUGACCGUCUUUUGUUUCUUUCUUUGUCUUCUCCAUGCCGCACCAAUGUAAUAAAAACUUAAUUUCUUCUUAUCUUCUUCUUGGGUGGUGCUGCCACGGGGCAGUCAUCGGGGUGGUGCGGCACGUCGACUGGUAGGGGCUAGGAGUUGGCUUGGCAUGGGCCAAGAAUGUGAUGUGGCAAAGGCCAUUGCUUGAGCAGCUCGGCUUGAUUGAAGCCAAGGAUUGGUUCGGCAUGGGCCGAGGAAGUGACGUGGAAUAGGCAAUUGUUUGGGCGGCCACGUCUGGGCUGCUUGCUGAAAGUGACGAAACUGGUUGAGUUUGAUUUUUCAACUGCCAUAGAUGGAGCAGUCAAGGAUGAAGCUGCCAAGAUCAGAGUUGCUGAAGAUGCAGUGUCGAAUGAGCGAACUGUUAAGUGUAAAAGUG
Molecule: long non-coding RNA, 2490 nt
Filed under: Malus domestica (apple)
Lineage: Eukaryota; Viridiplantae; Streptophyta; Magnoliopsida; Rosales; Rosaceae
Description: long non-coding RNA (MDOM_LNC006126)
Source: RNAcentral